GGCUUCCUGAGGAUCAUGGGGGGUCGUGCCUUCCCAGUGGGUAUACGAGCCUAAACGGACGCGGUAAAUCGUGCUAAGGUAGCUAAAUUAUGGCCUAUUAAUUGUAGGUCCUGUGAAUGGUUUGACGAGUCUUCUACUGUCUCAAGGUUGUUUUGGUGAACUUGAAUUGAACGUGCAAAUGCGUUCAUAGGUGAGAAAGACGAGAAGACCCCGUGAAGUUAGAAAUCCCUGUUACAGCGUAAUCCUUUAUGAUACUGUGUGUCAAUGGUUAUAGGUUUAAAAUAUUAAACAGUAGUUGGUAUUUUUAAGCUUUAAGUGGAGGGGUGUAAUUUUGAUGGGUUUUGGCUGGGGCAGCAAAAAGGCAAAACAAGACCUUUUUAGACAAUAAACGGGUGCGUUACGACCCAUAGAAGAGGAUGGUGUGAUUAGCAGAAGAAGUUACUCCGGGGAUAACAGCGUUAUCCGCCUUGACAGUUCGUAUAGAUGGGCGGGUUUGCGACCUCGAUGUUGGCUCUGGGUAUCCUGAGGCUUGCAGGUGGUCUCAAGGGUUGGUUCGUUCGCCCAUUAAAACCCG
Molecule: ribosomal RNA, 574 nt
Filed under: Pedum spondyloideum
Lineage: Eukaryota; Metazoa; Mollusca; Bivalvia; Pectinida; Pectinidae
Description: partial 16S ribosomal RNA
Rfam family: Bacterial large subunit ribosomal RNA
Source: RNAcentral